CUUUUUGAAGCACCAACAGAAAAAGGGGUUGGUGACUCUCGGAAACGUCUUGGGACCUACGUAUUUUCCUUUUCUGCUACUACUACGAUCCAUCUUCAGUUCUUGCUUCUCCAUUAAUCAAGUUUGGUAAAACUACCACGUCAUCCUCCUUCUCUUCUUCGUUGUUUGAUUCUUCCUGCUAUAAAUACAGUUUCGUUUCCAGAAUUAAUCUGUUCUUGCCUGACCACUGCCAAAAUUGAUAGUUUCGUCAACAUAGCUAUGUAAUGCCGUUUCGUUUUCUGAAUUAAGCUAUUCUUGGAAUUGAUUUGAGAAUAAACAAUUUUUAUUGGCUUCGGGGGUGAUGGUGCUGGUGGAUUCGAGAUGCUUCUUCUUUUUUUGUGUUCGUAUUUUAAUUCGAUUUCUGCUAGGGUUAAAUUCCAUUAAAUUUGAUCUUUGAUAACCCUAAAAUUAUUAGUUAUGCAUAAGCAGGAACAUCUCUGUACUUACCCCAAAAAAUUUCUCUAAAUUGGUACAGUUUCUCUUUCAAAGGUAAUUCCAAUUUGGGUUUUUUUGUUCGGAGAUACUUACAUUUUAUGUUUACUUUUUCUUUAUUUUCUGUGGACAGGUUAUUAUUUUGUUUGUAAGUGUUUGAUUGUAAUCUGUUGUUGAAUUGGAGCCGUGAUCGUUAGAAGCACUUGAAAUACAUCCUAUGGAGUCUGGCCAAAUUAAAAAGUAUGUUUUAUCAUGUAGGUUUCUUUGUUUGGUGAUGCCGAGGCUGUUUCAUCCUGAAGUAAUUUCAAGCCAAAGUGGAGUGCUUUCUUCCUGAUAAAAAAAUAGUUUUAUUGAUUUCAUCAAUGAGAAAGCAUCUGUUGUAGAAGAUUUUUUAUGAAUUCAUAUGAAGUCGGUGAGAUUUGUUGUGCUGCUAAACAAGUUUUUAUGCAGGAGCUUACAGUUAUAAUAUAGACUGAAAGAUCCUGUCGAAGUACUGUAUUUGGUGAUCUGUAGGAUAUUUCGAUGAUCAAUUGCGUUUGUAUGAUGACUAUGGAUUUCAUAGACUUGGGUAUUGUUUGCAGUUUUGAUUUUGGGUAUUUGAAUAAGAGAGUAGAUUUGGUUUCUUAGACUUACGUAUUUAUUUAUUUUUGGGGGUUUCUAUAUGUGUGCCGGCUUACCAGCUCUUGAAUUAUGAUGAACACUGUUGAAGUGGACCACCUAUAUUUUGAUUAUGUAUUUCUCCAUAAUACAUAUUCAAAGUUCAACCAAGAUAUAGAUUUCUGGAAUUUCUCUCCUUCUUCGUUUUUACGGUUGCUUUAUUUGGAAUUAGGUUCAAAGUUUCUCUGUUUAAUCACAAUGGAGGACAUUGUUGAUGGAGUGACUAACCUUAACAUUAACGAUUCACAAGAAUCGGAUUAUAGUCUCUAAUACUAAAAAACCCUUCUUCUUUUAUGCUGAUCUUGACAAACUACAUUCAAAACCCCUCUCUAUUGUGAGAUUAAACUGCACGGUGACUUUGUAUCCAUUUGGUUUGAAUCUUAAUGUAGAAUUUGGGAUCAAUUUUGGAUCAAUUUGUUACAGUUUUUUUUUUUAAUCAAAGCUAGGUUAGGAUUUGUUUUAUUGCAUCCUAUUAUUGUGUUAUUAUUCAAUUUUCUGGGUUCAAACGAUUGGAAAUCCAUGUAUGUAUUUACCUUUUCCAGAUGUACAUGCAACAACACAAAGCAGUGGAGCUUUCUGCUCUUGGAAUGAGUAACUAAUUCUCUACAUCUAUAUUUGUUUUGAUGUAAUGUGGAUCAACUUAUGUGGAGUAUUUUAUCAUUCAAAUCUCUUAAUAUAUGUGUUUCGUUUUGAAAGUAUACUUAAGAAUAUUACAUUUUAGCUCUGUUUAGAUGGUGCUUAUACCAGAGCUACAGUUGUUGCUGGCAGAUUAAUUACUUGGGUAUCAUAUGUUGAGAUUAUUUGCAAUCUAAUCUGUAAGCGUAAUCUAUACUAUAAUGAUCAACCGAAGCUGAGGGAUUAAUCUUAGAGAAUCCUAAAAAAGAUCGAAUAAAACAUCAACCCUUUUCCAUAAUCAAGGAUGAGUACAAUUCUUUGUGGGCUUAAGCUUUAGGUAUAUGCUGCACACACUUAGCUUGAUAACUAACAAAUGUGUGUCUUAGGGAAAAGAUGAUGAAUUGGACAAUGUAUUAGGAGAUUGGAUGCUUAUUCACACAAAUCCCAGUCAUGAUGCGGAUGCUCAAUUGCAAUAUUAAAUUUUUAAUUCCUUUUGUUUAUGUGCUUGCUUUGCCAAUGUUAUUUACUUUGGGAACAUUAUCUAUAUACCCCUAACUAGCAACCAUACUUAGUUUACUUUCAUUUUCUUUUGGAUCAUCGUUUGUUAGCAUUCCCAAGAGUUAAAUGAUCGUGUGACACCGUGCACAUUGUUCGUUUACUUUCUUUUGGAUUCACAGAUGGAUACAUGAUGAAGUAUAUUUGAUAUACAUGUUUGUUUUAUGUGGAAAAUUUACGCUUGUGGGAAAUUUUGGACAGUAGGUUGAAUCAUAAAUACGACGCAGAGGAAAAGAAGAAGAAGAUGUUUUAACCAAAGAUUACAACCUUGAUCUAAGAAUGUUGAGCUUGAGCAAUAGUGGGAUGAUAAGUGGUAGUUGCUGGUGCUAACCCUGUUCAAACUAUCGUGGUAAUUGUAUUAUAGUUCCAUCUUAGGGCCGAAGCAGGGAAAAGGAAGUUGAGCACGAACUCUGAUACCAGUGUAGUGAAUAUCCAGAAUAAACGUAUAUGGACAGACUGUUCACCACAAGUAUGAUACCGAAUGGUUGUUGGUAUCUUUCGAUAUUCUUGGUCAUUGCUAAGAACUUGGCUGAGCUAACCGGGGAAGGGGGUAAUAGCAAUAGUUAGAGGUGCUGGGUCGAUUGCAACUACGGAAAAAGUAUGUCAGGCAAACAAGAUGUUCCACGCGUCUACUAGAAGAGAGUAAUAACAAUCGCUGGGAGUGCCUACUCGAUGACAACUGUGGAGAAAGGAGGUCAGGCAAAACAUGAUGUGCCACAUGUCCACUACAGGGAGGAUUCUUCUAUAUACUAUGUGCCUACUUUGUUUAUGGUAUGGAAGGUGCGGAUUAAGUAUGUAGUUUCCUUGGCCUACACUUUUUCUCUCAUUUUUCUAGAACUUCAAAAUUUAAAAUUGUCAGGUUCUCCACUUCGUGAUAUAGCUUGAAGCUAGCUUGGUUUCGGGUUUUCUGGCUAAUCAUCUUCUAAUAAGUUGAUCUUGAUCUCGACAAUUAAAGUUGUGACCGAGUUCUGCAGGUUACUGUUGCUACUAUAGUUGCGGAAGAAAUUCUCGCAAUGUGUUGUUCUUAUUUUCUUAUAUCAUUAUGGAUUUUAUGGUUCUAAA
This is a long non-coding RNA of Papaver somniferum (opium poppy), 3360 nucleotides long. RefSeq lists it as uncharacterized. The record is from RefSeq and is a predicted model, not a curated record. Lineage: Eukaryota; Viridiplantae; Streptophyta; Magnoliopsida; Ranunculales; Papaveraceae. The transcript has 5 exons.